CCUACGGGUGGCAGCAGUGAGGCAUAUUGGUCAAUGGGCGCGAGCCUGAACCAGCCAAGUCGCGUGAGGGAAUACGGUCCUAUGGAUUGUCAACCUCUUUUGUCGGGGAGCAAAAGACGCCACGUGUGGCGUUCCGAGAGUACCCGAAGAAAAAGCAUCGGCUAACUCCGUGCCCGCAGCCCCGGUUAUACGGAGGAUGCGAGCGGUAUACGGAUUUAUUGGGUUUAAAGGGUGCGCAGGCGGGAGAUUAAGUCAGCGGUAAAAUUGAGAGGCUCAACCUCUUCGGGCCGUUGAAACUGGUUUUAUUGAGUGAGCGAGAAGUAUGCGGAAUGCGUGGUGUAGCGGUGAAAUGCAUAGAUAUCACGCAGAACCCCGAUUGCGAAGGCAGCAUACCGGUGCUCAACUGACGCUGAGGCACGAAAGUGUGGGUAUCGAACAGGAUUAGAUACCCUUGUAGUC
RNAcentral lists this ribosomal RNA (459 nucleotides) under uncultured bacterium. RNAcentral describes it as "partial 16S ribosomal RNA". It matches the Rfam family "Bacterial small subunit ribosomal RNA", at positions 338 to 795 of the family's 1533-position model. The record is from RNAcentral.